RNAcentral lists this ribosomal RNA (308 nucleotides) under uncultured bacterium. RNAcentral's name for it is "bacterial SSU rRNA". It matches the Rfam family "Bacterial small subunit ribosomal RNA", at positions 28 to 335 of the family's 1533-position model. The record is from RNAcentral.
GACGAACGCUGGCGGCGUGCCUAACACAUGCAAGUCAACUUGACUGAAGGAGCAAUCUGACAGUAGAGUGGCGCAAGGGUGCGUAACGCGUAAGUAACUUGCCCAAGGUAAGGAAUAACGUCGAGAAAUCGGCGCUAAUACCUCAUAAUGCAGCGGAUCCGCAUGGAUAUGUUGUUAAAAGGGUUUAUCGCCUUGGGAUAGGCUUGCGUCUGACUAGCUAGUUGGUGUGGUAACGGCACACCAAGGCUACGAUCAGUAACUGGUCUGAGAGGAUGAUCAGUCACACUGGAACUGAGACACGGUCCAGA